RNAcentral lists this ribosomal RNA (465 nucleotides) under uncultured bacterium. Its description in RNAcentral is "partial 16S ribosomal RNA". It matches the Rfam family "Bacterial small subunit ribosomal RNA", at positions 28 to 507 of the family's 1533-position model. The record is from RNAcentral.
GACGAACGCUGGCGGCGUGCUUAACACAUGCAAGUCGUACGGUAAGGCCCUUUCGGGGGUACACGAGUGGCGAACGGGUGCGUAACACGUGAGUAACCUGCCCACAACUUUGGGAUAACGCUAGGAAACUGGUGCUAAUACUGGAUAUGUGCCCCUGCUGCAUGGUGGGGGUUGGAAAGCUCCGGCGGUUGUGGAUGGACUCGCGGCCUAUCAGCUUGUUGGUGGGGUAGUGGCCUACCAAGGCGGCGACGGGUAGCCGGCCUGAGAGGGUGACCGGCCACAUUGGGACUGAGAUACGGCCCAGACUCCUACGGGAGGCAGCAGUGGGGAAUAUUGCACAAUGGGCGCAAGCCUGAUGCAGCAACGCCGCGGGCGGGAUGACGGCCUUCGGGUUGUAAACCGCUUUCAGCAGGGACGAAGCUUUUUGUGACGGUACCUGCAGAAGAAGCACCGGCUAACUACGUG